Molecule: small RNA, 831 nt
Filed under: Rattus norvegicus (Norway rat)
Lineage: Eukaryota; Metazoa; Chordata; Mammalia; Rodentia; Muridae
Description: ischemic-associated non-coding RNA1
Source: RNAcentral
GCCCUUUCACCCCCGCCAACCGCCGCUGGGCCUCAGCGCCGUCGCUCGCUUCCUCGCUCGCUCGCCACCAUCAUCCUGAAACAACAGGAGGAAAAUAUCAGUUAUGAGCAAACUUGUUACUGAUUUCUGUAUCCAGGAUUCCUGUUGCUUUACCACAACAGACAAGUAAUUGCUAAGUGUUUUUCUUUUGGUCCCUUUUUUUCCCCACCUUCUCCUUCUUAAUCUGCAUUCUGGCUCUGUAUGUAGUAUUUUAAAUGAGUUAAAAUAGUUUAGGAAUAUGAAUUAAUUUUUAAGUGUGUAGAUGCUUUUUUUUGUUUAAAUAUAAACAGUGACCUUUUAUAAUAAAAAAGUUGGUUAAAAAACCACAAACAUGUUAGUUUCAAAAGUGGCUUGCUUGCUUAAAGUGCUUUGAUUGAGCCCCCGUAAAGUAUAGUUGCAAAUCCUUAACGGCGUAGGUGCCCCAUGUAAAGUGGCUCAGAUGUCCUAAAACAUUUCCUUUAAAGCACAUGGCGUUUGGUUUUGAUCUAGCCCCAACAUAAGUGUUGAGAGAUACUACCGCCUAAUGGAGUCGACAGUUCUUUUAGACAGUCUUUUCAAUAAUAGUACUAAUAAUCAAAUUUCAGUAUUAAAAUGUAAGAGUAUUUUGUCAUCUGAGAUUCUGCACUCCAUGAAAACUCACUUGGACACUGGGCCGAAGCUACGCUGUUCAUAAGUUGACCUGUCAGUUUCGACUGUUGCCGGUAGUAAGUAUGUUCACCUAGCAUGAAUAAAAGGACCUGCACGAAUGAAAGAGAUCAGUCAAUAAAGUAAAAAAAAAAAAAAAAAAAAAAA